This 1452-nucleotide ribosomal RNA is filed under the name uncultured prokaryote. RNAcentral describes it as "partial 16S ribosomal RNA". It matches the Rfam family "Bacterial small subunit ribosomal RNA". The record is from RNAcentral.
CCUGGCUCAGAUUGAACGCUGGCGGCAUGGUUAAAACAUGUAAGUCGAACGCGAAAGCACUUCGGUGCAAGUAGAGUGGCGAAAGGGCGAGGAAUAAGUACCUAACGUGCCUUCAGGUAAGGGAUAGCUCAUGGAAACGUGUGGUAAUACUUUAUAAUCUCACUGGUCCAUAUGGACUUUUGAGCAAAGGUUUACUGCCUCUGGAUCGGGAAACGUCCUAUCAGCUUGUUGGUGAGGUAAAGGCUCACCAAGGCUUAGACGGGUAGCGGGUGUGAGAGCACGGCCCGCCGCAUCGGGACUGAGACACUGCCCGGACUCCUACGGGAGGCUGCAGUAACCAAUAUUCCGCAACGCGCGAAAGCGUGACGGCGCAAUGCCGCGUGAAGGAUGAAGCACCUCGGUGUGUAAACUUCUGUCAGGGUUUAGGAAACAAAUGACAGUCAUAAAGGAAGGGCCGGCUAAUUCAGUGCCAGCAGCCGCGGUAAUACUGAAGGCCCAAGCGUUAAUCGGAAUCACUGGGCUUAAAGCUGCGUAGGCGGAUUUGUAAGUGCUUUGUGAAAGCCCUCGGCUCAACCGAGGAAUUGCUUGGUAGACUGCAAAUCUUGAGGUCGGCAGAGGUUGUCGGAACCAUAGGUGUAGCGGUGAAAUGCGUAGAUAUCUAUGGGAACGCCAAAGGAGAAAUCAGACAACUGGGCCGAAUCUGACGCUGAGGCACGAAAGCGUGGGUAGCGAAGAGGAUUAGAUACCCUCGUAGUCCACGCCCUAAACGAUGUGCACUAGGUGCUGGGAGCUCUGACGCUCUCGGUGCCGACGUAAAAACAAUAAGUGCACCGCCUGGGGAGUACGGUCGCAAGAUUAAAACUCAAAGGAAUUGACGGGGGCUCACACAAGCGGUGGAGCAUGUGGCUUAAUUCGAGGCAACGCGAAGAACCUUAUCCUGGGCUUGACAUGUAUGAAUUAGCUUCCAGAAACGGAAGUGACGCCCUCUCAGUGGAACGUACACAGGUGCUGCAUGGCUGUCGUCAGCUCGUGCUGUGAAGUGUCGGGUUAAGUCCCUUAACGAGCGAAACCCUUGCCGCUAGUUGCCAGCGAGUUAUGUCGGGGACUCUAGCGGGACUGCCGGUGUCAAACCGGAGGAAGGUGGGGAUGACGUCAAGUCCUCAUGGCCUUUAUGCCCUGGGCUGCACACGUGCUACAAUGGCGCGGACAGAGCGACGCAAUACCGUAAGGUGGAGCAAAUCGCACAAACCGCGCCCCAGUUCGGAUUGUGGUCUGCAACUCGACCACAUGAAGUUGGAAUCGCUAGUAAUCGCGUAUCAGCUACGACGCGGUGAAUACGUUCCUGAGCCUUGUACACACCGCCCGUCACGUCAUGGGAGCCGGGAGCACCCGAAGUGGUCACGUUUCAGUGAUCCCUACGGUGAGCUCGGUAACUGGGACGAAGUCGUAACA